ACCCAAACCUAGGUGAUCUAUUCACAACUAAGAUAAAGGUUGGGUGAAACUAAGUGGAGGUCCAAAUCAAUUGAUGUUGAAGAAUCGGCAAAUGUGCUAUGAUUAAGGGUGAAAUGUCACUCGAACCUAGAGCUAGCUAG
Molecule: non-coding RNA, 140 nt
Filed under: Vitis vinifera (wine grape)
Lineage: Eukaryota; Viridiplantae; Streptophyta; Magnoliopsida; Vitales; Vitaceae
Description: Bacterial large subunit ribosomal RNA
Rfam family: Bacterial large subunit ribosomal RNA
Source: Rfam by way of RNAcentral